UAAGGUAUUUCUGUUUUUUUUUUAUGUGCAAAAAUGUCUCAAAUCUUUUUGCUUUGUCAUUAUGGGCUAUUGUGUGUAGAUUGAUAAUUCAUUCAAAUAUUGAAUCAAUCUGAGAAUAAGGCUGUAACGUAACAAAAUGUGGAAAAAGUCAAGGGUCUGAAUACUUUCCGAAUGCAGUGUAUAUCGCCCAGCCCUAUAAUGCAGUCAAGAUGCUCUCAAUGGUGCAGCUGUUUAACUUUGAGGAUCCGAGGGCCCAUGUCAAAUCUUUUCAGCCUCCUGAGGGGGAAGGCGUUGUUUUGCCCUCUUGACAUCUGUGUUGGUGUAUGGGUACCGUGAUCAAUCCUUAGUGAUGUGGACACCGUGGAACUUUAAGCUCUCGACCUGCUCCACUACAGCUUGUCGACGUGAAUGAGGGCGUGCUCGGCCCUACGUUUUCUGUAGUCCAUGAUUAGCUCCUUUGUCUUGCUGACGUUGAGGGAGAGAAUCAUUAGCUGAAGCAGAAGAAACAGACUGUGGUCAAGAGCGCCAAGAAGGGGGUUCACACUGGACCUGACCCACCCUGUGGAGUACAGCAUCCUGGACUCUGCCAACUUCGGUUCCCUUCCCUAGUCACUGCUCUUUCCAACAGGAAACCUUUCUCAACGAGAGGGUAAAGGUCAAUGGCAAGACAGGAAAUCUGGCAAAUCUAGUCGAGAUCAACCAUCUGAAAAACAAGAUCCACGUCACAGAACCAGCUUUCCAAGAGGUACCUGAAGAAGAACAAUCUAGAAGAAAAAGAAACGCACACCUAUAAAGACGAGGUGCUGGCUAGCGGAGUAGAAACUUGAAAAUAAAACAGAGUCGCACACUCAGGGUACCCUGAUGAAGACAGCUUGGCUGUCGAAACGUUGGUAUUACAUUUUUGCAUCUGAGCUCCUAGAGUGUGUGACUCUUUUAUUUUCACCUGAAGAAGAACAACCUCCGUGAUUGGUUGAGAGUCAUGUUGGCAGACAAGGAGACUUACGAGCUGAGAUACUUCCAGAUCAGCCAGGAAGAGGACAAUGACGAGUAGAGCCAAGCUCCGCCCACCUGCCCCAGCAUGCAGGACUGGAGACUGGCCAGUCCGUCACACUUGUCACUUGUUUGUGAGAGGGAAAGUCUUCUGUGAGAGACAUUUGUAUUUGUCAGUGGAUAGACUGUAAACUUCAGUGUGUCAUCAUGUCUCUAGUUUGAUGGGAGAAUAAAUUAG
This is a long non-coding RNA of Oncorhynchus tshawytscha (Chinook salmon), 1228 nucleotides long. RefSeq lists it as uncharacterized. The transcript has 3 exons. The record is from RefSeq and is a predicted model, not a curated record. NCBI's taxonomy places the organism in Eukaryota, Metazoa, Chordata, Actinopteri, Salmoniformes, Salmonidae.